RNAcentral lists this ribosomal RNA (320 nucleotides) under uncultured eukaryote. Its description in RNAcentral is "partial 18S ribosomal RNA". It matches the Rfam family "Eukaryotic small subunit ribosomal RNA", at positions 1470 to 1796 of the family's 1831-position model. The record is from RNAcentral.
CCCCUAGAUGUUCUGGGCCGCACGCGCGCUACACUGAACAGUUCAACAAGUCUUAACCUUGGCCGAUAGGUCUGGGUAAUCUUUGAACGCUGUUCGUGAUUGGGAUAGACCUUUGCAAUUAUGGGUCUUCAACGAGGAAUUCAUAGUAAACGCAAGUCAUCAGCUUGCAUUGAUUACGUCCCUGCCCUUUGUACACACCGCCCGUCGCACCUGCCGAUUGAAUGGUCCGGUGAAAUCUCGGGACGGCGGCUUGGUCGCUUGCGUCCGACUGCUGAAACUUGAUUAAACCAUAUCAUUUAGAGGAAGGUGAAGUCGUAACA